GGGGAAUUUUGGACAAUGGGCGCAAGCCUGAUCCAGCCAUGCCGCGUGAGUGAAGAAGGCCUUCGGGUUGUAAAGCUCUUUCAGUCGGGAAGAAAAGGCGGGCUCUAACAUAGCCCGUUGCUGACGGUACCGACAGAAGAAGCACCGGCUAACUACGUGCCAGCAGCCGCGGUAAUACGUAGGGUGCGAGCGUUAAUCGGAAUUACUGGGCGUAAAGCGUGCGCAGGCGGUUUUGUAAGACAGAUGUGAAAUCCCCGGGCUUAACCUGGGAACUGCGUUUGUGACUGCAAGGCUAGAGUACGGCAGAGGGGGGUGGAAUUCCACGUGUAGCAGUGAAAUGCGUAGAUAUGUGGAGGAACACCGAUGGCGAAGGCAGCCCCCUGGGCCUGUACUGACGCUCAUGCACGAAAGCGUGGGGAGCAAAC
This 425-nucleotide ribosomal RNA is filed under the name uncultured bacterium. RNAcentral describes it as "bacterial SSU rRNA". It matches the Rfam family "Bacterial small subunit ribosomal RNA", at positions 356 to 773 of the family's 1533-position model. The record is from RNAcentral.